Molecule: transfer RNA, 74 nt
Filed under: Bordetella avium 197N
Lineage: Bacteria; Pseudomonadati; Pseudomonadota; Betaproteobacteria; Burkholderiales; Alcaligenaceae
Rfam family: tRNA
About the family: Transfer RNA (tRNA) molecules are approximately 80 nucleotides in length.
Source: Rfam by way of RNAcentral
GCGCCCGUAGCUCAAAUGGAUAGAGCAGAGGAUUUCUACCCCUCAGGUUGCAGGUUCGACUCCUGCCGGGCGCG